Molecule: ribosomal RNA, 805 nt
Filed under: Psychrobacter sp.
Lineage: Bacteria; Pseudomonadati; Pseudomonadota; Gammaproteobacteria; Moraxellales; Moraxellaceae
Description: bacterial SSU rRNA
Rfam family: Bacterial small subunit ribosomal RNA
Source: RNAcentral
UGCAUCUGAUACUGUUAAGCUAGAGUAGGUGAGAGGGAAGUAGAAUUCCAGGUGUAGCGGUGAAAUGCGUAGAGAUCUGGAGGAAUACCGAUGGCGAAGGCAGCUUCCUGGCAUCAUACUGACACUGAGGCUCGAAAGCGUGGGUAGCAAACAGGAUUAGAUACCCUGGUAGUCCACGCCGUAAACGAUGUCUACUAGUCGUUGGGGAACUUGAUUCCUUAGUGACGCAGCUAACGCAAUAAGUAGACCGCCUGGGGAGUACGGCCGCAAGGUUAAAACUCAAAUGAAUUGACGGGGGCCCGCACAAGCGGUGGAGCAUGUGGUUUAAUUCGAUGCAACGCGAAGAACCUUACCUGGUCUUGACAUAUCUAGAAUCCUGCAGAGAUGCGGGAGUGCCUUCGGGAAUUAGAAUACAGGUGCUGCAUGGCUGUCGUCAGCUCGUGUCGUGAGAUGUUGGGUUAAGUCCCGCAACGAGCGCAACCCUUGUCCUUAGUUACCAGCGGGUUAAGCCGGGAACUCUAAGGAUACUGCCAGUGACAAACUGGAGGAAGGCGGGGACGACGUCAAGUCAUCAUGGCCCUUACGACCAGGGCUACACACGUGCUACAAUGGUAGGUACAGAGGGCAGCUACACAGCGAUGUGAUGCGAAUCUCAAAAAGCCUAUCGUAGUCCAGAUUGGAGUCUGCAACUCGACUCCAUGAAGUAGGAAUCGCUAGUAAUCGCGGAUCAGAAUGCCGCGGUGAAUACGUUCCCGGGCCUUGUACACACCGCCCGUCACACCAUGGGAGUUGAUUGCACCAGAAG